This 303-nucleotide long non-coding RNA is filed under the name Hordeum vulgare. Its description in RNAcentral is "long non-coding RNA (HVUL_LNC000053)". Lineage: Eukaryota; Viridiplantae; Streptophyta; Magnoliopsida; Poales; Poaceae. The record is from RNAcentral.
GGCAACAACCAACUAUAUACAGAGGAUAAGGUAAAAUCUGCUCCAUGAUUCAGGAUAAGAUAGGCCAGAAUUUGCAUCGGCCGUUGCAGGCAAUCCCGCAAUCUGCUUCAAACUACAGCGAGUACGACAAGAUAAAACUCGCUAUGCUGUUCAUGAUAAGAUGAACAACAGAUGCAUCGGUCGCCAUCGCCGAUCCGUCUCGCCGCUAUCCCGCCACGGCGCUAUGAUCCACGAGGUGAGGUGAGGUGAGGAGAGGGGAGGGGAGGGGAGGAGGAUUCGGGGGGGUGGUGGGGGGCGCGAGGU